UUAAUGGCCGCGGUAUAAUGACCGUGCAAAGGUAGCGUAAUCAUUUGUCUCCUAAAUAGAGACCAGUAUGAAUGGCAAGACGAAAGCCUCACUGUCUCUCUAACCCAGUCAAUGAAAUUGAUCUUCCCGUGCAGAAGCGGGAAUAAAAGUAUAAGACGAGAAGACCCUGUGGAGCUUUAAACUUAAAUUAAUAUAUAUAUAUAUAUAAUACUUAAUACUAGUUUUAGGUUGGGGCGACCAUGAGGUAUAAUAUAACCCUCACGACAACAAAUAGAAGGACACUUCAAAUAAUCACUAUGACAUAUUGACCCA
This 312-nucleotide ribosomal RNA is filed under the name Bolitoglossa flaviventris. Its description in RNAcentral is "partial 16S large subunit ribosomal RNA". It matches the Rfam family "Bacterial large subunit ribosomal RNA", at positions 1924 to 2422 of the family's 2925-position model. The record is from RNAcentral. Lineage: Eukaryota; Metazoa; Chordata; Amphibia; Caudata; Plethodontidae.